Molecule: long non-coding RNA, 333 nt
Organism: Arachis duranensis
Lineage: Eukaryota; Viridiplantae; Streptophyta; Magnoliopsida; Fabales; Fabaceae
Exons: 3
Source: RefSeq, a predicted model, not a curated record
AUCUUUCUGCAUAAUUGUGUGUUUUCUUCCUGCAUCAGGUUUACUUUCUUAAAAGGUUCCAAAUUUUUCUGAUGGAUAAGGUUGCUCUGCAUUUGCAAAAUAGUUAAAAAGAAAAUUACAGAGAUCAUCAAGAAGCGAUAUGAUAAACCGUACAAAAAGUUUGGAGAUGUUCCUCUUUUGACAAAGAAGCUUUGGUUUAAGGAGUGGAAGGCAGCUGCCAGAGAAAAUGUGUGUGGGAGCUUUGCUGCUUGAAGGUGACAAUUAUGAGUUUUGGGUGACAUUGGGAUGUUUGUCUGAUCAAACAGUUGAAUGUAUCUCUAGCUAUUGCUUGGG